This 501-nucleotide ribosomal RNA is filed under the name uncultured soil bacterium. RNAcentral describes it as "bacterial SSU rRNA". It matches the Rfam family "Bacterial small subunit ribosomal RNA", at positions 26 to 521 of the family's 1533-position model. The record is from RNAcentral.
AGAUUGAACGCUGGCGGCAGGCCUAACACAUGCAAGUCGAGCGGCAGCACGGGUACUUGUACCUGGUGGCGAGCGGCGGACGGGUGAGUAAUGCCUAGGAAUCUGCCUGAUAGUGGGGGAUAACGUUCGGAAACGGACGCUAAUACCGCAUACGUCCUACGGGAGAAAGUGGGGGAUCUUCGGACCUCACGCUAUCAGAUGAGCCUAGGUCGGAUUAGCUAGUUGGUAGGGUAAAGGCCUACCAAGGCUACGAUCCGUAACUGGUCUGAGAGGAUGAUCAGUCACACUGGAACUGAGACACGGUCCAGACUCCUACGGGAGGCAGCAGUGGGGAAUAUUGGACAAUGGGCGAAAGCCUGAUCCAGCCAUGCCGCGUGUGUGAAGAAGGUCUUCGGAUUGUAAAGCUACUUUAAGUUGGGAGAAGGCAUUAACCUAAUACGUUAGUGUUUUGACGUUACCGACAGAAUAAGCACCGGCUAACUCUGUGCCAGCAGCCGUACG